Molecule: ribosomal RNA, 253 nt
Filed under: uncultured bacterium
Lineage: Bacteria
Description: partial 16S ribosomal RNA
Rfam family: Bacterial small subunit ribosomal RNA
Source: RNAcentral
UACAGAGGUCUCAAGCGUUGUUCGGAUUUACUGGGCGUAAAGGGUGUGUAGGCGGUCUGGUAAGUCUGAAGUGAAAUCUCUGAGCUCAACUCAGAAAAUGCUUCGGAUACUAUCCGGCUAGAGGGUCGGAGAGGAGAACGGAAUUCUCGGUGUAGCAGUGAAAUGCGUAGAUAUCGAGAGGAACAUCAGUGGCGAAGGCGGAUCUCUGGACGAAUCCUGACGCUGAGGCACGAAAGCCAGGGUAGCAAACGGG